RNAcentral lists this ribosomal RNA (435 nucleotides) under Yoldia hyperborea. Its description in RNAcentral is "SSU rRNA". It matches the Rfam family "Eukaryotic small subunit ribosomal RNA", at positions 564 to 1003 of the family's 1831-position model. Lineage: Eukaryota; Metazoa; Mollusca; Bivalvia; Nuculanida sp.; Yoldiidae. The record is from RNAcentral.
GUGCCAGCAGCCGCGGUAAUUCCAGCUCCAAUAGCGUAUAUUAAAGUUGUUGCAGUUAAAAAGCUCGUAGUUGGAUCUCGGGUCCAGGCUCGCGGUCCGCCUCGCGGCGGUUACUGCCCGUCCUGACCUACCUCCCGGUGUUCCCUUGGUGCUCUUGACUGAGUGUCUCGGGUGGCCGGAACGUUUACUUUGAAAAAAUUAGAGUGUUCAAAGCAGGCAGCUCGCCUGAAUAAUGGUGCAUGGAAUAAUGGAAUAGGACCUCGGUUCUAUUUUGUUGGCCUUCGGAACUUGAGGUAAUGAUUAAGAGGGACGGACGGGGGCAUCCGUAUUACGGUGUUAGAGGUGAAAUUCUUGGAUCGCCGUAAGACGAACAACUGCGAAAGCAUUUGCCAAGAAUGUUUUCAUUAAUCAAGAACGAAAGUCAGAGGUUCGAAG